GACGAACGCUGGCGGCGUGCCUAAUACAUGCAAGUCGAACGGCAGCACGGGAGCAAUCCUGGUGGCGAGUGGCGAACGGGUGAGUAAAGUAUCGGAACGUGCCCAGUCGUGGGGGAUAACGUAGCGAAAGUUACGCUAAUACCGCAUACGAUCUAUGGAUGAAAGCGGGGGAUCGCAAGACCUCGCGCGAUUGGAGCGGCCGAUAUCAGAUUAGGUAGUUGGUGGGGUAAAGGCUCACCAAGCCGACGAUCUGUAGCUGGUCUGAGAUGACGACCAGCCACACUGGGACUGAGACACGGCCCAGACUCCUACGGGAGGCAGCAGUGGGGAAUUUUGGACAAUGGGCGAAAGCCUGAUCCAGCCAUGCCGCGUGCAGGAUGAAGGCCUUCGGGUUGUAAACUGCUUUUGUACGGAACGAAAAGGUUUGGCCUAAUAAGCUGAGCUCAUGACGGUACCGUAAGAAUAAGCACCGGCUAACUACGUGCCAGCCGCCGCAGUAA
Molecule: ribosomal RNA, 500 nt
Filed under: uncultured bacterium
Lineage: Bacteria
Description: partial 16S ribosomal RNA
Rfam family: Bacterial small subunit ribosomal RNA
Source: RNAcentral